CUAAACAACAUCCUACUUCCUUACUUCAAUUUCAGCAACCACAGAACUUCCUGAAUAGGAGUUCUCCCUUAGUGCAGACUCAAAUCUUGCAGCAGUCUCAAUCUCAGCAGUCUUUUCCAAAUAGUCAAGAAAUACCUCAUCCAUCUCAAUCUCAGGCUCAAACUCAUUUUCAGCAGCAUUUGCAGCAUCAGCAUUCAUUCAAUAAUCAGAAUCAGCAUCAUCUUCUACAGCAGCAACAACAGCAGCAACAAUCACAACAACCACAGCAGCAACAACAGCAACUGCAGCAGCAACAAGUGGUUGAUCAUCAGCAGAUUUCAAAUGCUGUCUCUACGAUGUCUCAGUUUGUUUCAGCACCUCAAUCUCAAUCGCCACCCAUGCAAGCUAUCUCUUCACUGGGACAUCAGCAGAGUUUUUCUGAUUCAAACGGAAACCCUGUGACUAAUGCUAUUGUUUCUCCCCUGCAUAGUAUUUUGGGUUCAUUUUCCC
Molecule: long non-coding RNA, 489 nt
Filed under: Phaseolus vulgaris (common bean)
Lineage: Eukaryota; Viridiplantae; Streptophyta; Magnoliopsida; Fabales; Fabaceae
Description: long non-coding RNA (PVUL_LNC004575)
Source: RNAcentral